AACUAUAUUUAGAGAUGUCUGUGGUUGGUGAGGUAACACCAAUAAAUGUAUUGUACAAAAUCAUUUAUAUAUUUUUAUAGUGUUUCUGGGAUAAAAGUGUCCAUGUCACUGACUGAGAGAUACUUUACCAUUUAAAAAAAUAAUAAAAGCCAGAUCUCUUUUUCUGAGGCUCUAGGCUGUAUGUGGUAGGCAGCUUGUGCAUACUUAGAAAAAUAAAAUAAAAUAAAACAAAAUGAGGGUAGUCAUACAUUUUAGUCAACACCAUUUUUGCUAGAAAGCCAGAAUUGUGUUUCUCCUUUGCAUUAAAUUUGUUUUUUUGUUGCAAAACAAUUCAAAAUAUUUACUGAUCAUUGUGAAAUAAUAUUACCCGUGUUUCUAGCUUCAAUAUUUUGUUUGGUUUUUAACAAAGUACCAAAUGUGCGAAGUAGUAGCAACAUUUAAUGAAGAUGGCGAGCCUCCGGCGAAAAAGACGGCUCCCUCCAUCCAACUCGGCGCUGGCUUCAAAUGGAACCUGCAGGCGCUAUCGGCAGCAGCUGACGCGGUGCAGGGCGGCGGCAAGUCGCCCGUGUCAGCACUCAACGAGCUGGGAGUCCGGGUGCUAUACACCGUGCGGCGGCAGUCGGGCCCGGCGCACUGCCCCAGCUUCACCGUCACCGUCACGGUCAGUAGCGGACACUGUCAGCAGCUGACAACGAGCUGGGAGUCCGGGUGCUAUACACCGUGCGGCGGCAGUCGGGCCCGGCGCACUGCCCCAGCUUCACCGUCACCGUCACGGUCAGUAGCGGACACUGUCAGCAGCUGACAACGAGCUGGGAGUCCGGGUGCUAUACACCGUGCGGCGGCAGUCGGGCCCGGCGCACUGCCCCAGCUUCACCGUCACCGUCACGGUCAGUAGCGGACACUGUCAGCAGCUGACAACGAGCUGGGAGUCCGGGUGCUAUACACCGUGCGGCGGCAGUCGGGCCCGGCGCACUGCCCCAGCUUCACCGUCACCGUCACGGUCAGUAGCGGACACUGUCAGCAGCUGACAACGAGCUGGGAGUCCGGGUGCUAUACACCGUGCGGCGGCAGUCGGGCCCGGCGCACUGCCCCAGCUUCACCGUCACCGUCACGGUAGCGGACAUGACAUUCGAAGGCUGCGGGCACAGCAAGCGCGAGGCCCGCGCGGCCGCCGCGCGCGCCUGCCUGGGCACGCUGCUGGCGCGCGCCGGCCGCGUCAUCCUGCCGCCGCGGCACCAGGAGGAUAUCGACUUUGCACAGGACGAUGUGGCGAGGCUACCAAGUAA
Plutella xylostella (diamondback moth) is the source of this 1286-nucleotide non-coding RNA. Lineage: Eukaryota; Metazoa; Arthropoda; Insecta; Lepidoptera; Plutellidae. The record is from RefSeq and is a predicted model, not a curated record.